AGAGUUUGAUCCUGGCUCAGAUUGAACGCUGGCGGCAUGCCUUACACAUGCAAGUCGAACGGCAGCGCGGGCGGGGGUAACCUCGCCUGGCGGCGAGUGGCGAACGGGUGAGUAAUAUAUCGGAACGUACCCUGGAGUGGGGGAUAACGUAGCGAAAGUUACGCUAAUACCGCAUACGAUCCAAGGAUGAAAGCAGGGGACCGCAAGGCCUUGUGCUCCUGGAGCGGCCGAUAUCUGAUUAGCUAGUUGGCGGGGUAAAAGCCCACCAAGGCAACGAUCAGUAGCUGGUCUGAGAGGACGACCAGCCACACUGGAACUGAGACACGGUCCAGACUCCUACGGGAGGCAGCAGUGGGGAAUUUUGGACAAUGGGCGCAAGCCUGAUCCAGCAAUGCCGCGUGAGUGAAGAAGGCCUUCGGGUUGU
This 424-nucleotide ribosomal RNA is filed under the name uncultured bacterium. RNAcentral describes it as "bacterial SSU rRNA". It matches the Rfam family "Bacterial small subunit ribosomal RNA", at positions 8 to 426 of the family's 1533-position model. The record is from RNAcentral.